GCCCCCGUAGCUCAGCUGGUAGAGCAGCGGAUUCUUAAUCCGCGUGCCGUGGGUUCGAUUCCUACCGGGGGUAUCA
Molecule: transfer RNA, 76 nt
Filed under: Planctomycetota bacterium
Lineage: Bacteria; Pseudomonadati; Planctomycetota
Description: tRNA-Lys
Rfam family: tRNA
About the family: Transfer RNA (tRNA) molecules are approximately 80 nucleotides in length.
Source: RNAcentral